CCCGGGAUCAGAGUCCAGCCGCCGCCGAGACUCGGCCUGAGCAACAGGAGAGCCGAGGCCGCCGCUCCGCCAGCCCAGCGACCGGCAGAUGCUCCCGCUCCCCCGCCCCCAACCCCACACGCCCGCCCGCGCUUCUUUCUUAGCCCCUUGCUGGCUCCCGGCACUGCGAAGCCAGUAACGGGGCUGGGAGCAGACAGCGAGAGAGCCUGGACCUGAAAGAGGGCGAAGUUAGAGGCCGCCCGCAUGUCUGCUCCCUCAGCUCCUGGAGUCUCUCAGCUUGAGAUCCCGUGAGAUGACCGACCCAGGGCCCGUGGACCAAAUUCAGGCAGAGCACUGGACAGGGAGCAAGACUCAGAUUGGCUUUUGGAUAGACCAACCCCUGCUGCAGCAGACCUCAUGGUCCAGCCGUCCUCGUGCCUGUGGGAGAGAAGGUCCUGUAAUCGCAUCCCUCGGGAUUCGUGUUUGCUCCGCAGUUCGCAAAUGAGAGGCUCGCUGCUGCUCCAAACAUGCCAGUGAGGCUGCGUGAGAACAGCUACUUGCACCAGCCGUCUGUGUUUGGGCUCCCAGUGAUGAAGAUGAAGCCACGGCCUUUGUGCAAGGCGGGUGGUGCCGUGGGGAGUGGGAGCCGGGGAAGAUGGCCAGGCUUGAAUGGAGACAUGUGACCUCUCGGGAAACUGGCUUGCCUCCCCCGGGGUUUUCCUGUUUAGUUCUGCAGAAGGCAAAGGAAACCCAUGGUUUGGGAAAAGUCCUGUUGAUAUAAAACCAACCAGUUUAUUUUUAUUUAUUUUUUAAGAGAUCUUAUUUAGGGGCACCUGGGUGGCUCAGUGGUUUAAGGCUGCUGCCUUCAGCUCAGGUCAUGAUCUCAGGGUCCUGGGAUCGAGCCCCGCAUCAGGCUCUCUGCUCAGCAGGGAGUCUGCUUCCCUUCUCUCUCUGCCUGCCUCUCUGCCUACUUGUGAUCUCUGUCUGUCAAAUAAAUAAAUACAAAUAUUUAAAAAAAGAAAAAGGAUAUGUCCAUUAAAAAAAAAAAAGAUCUUAUUUAUUUAUUUGACACAGAGAGACUGAGCAAGCACAGGCAGGGGGAGCCAGAAAGAGAGAGGGAGACACAGAAGCCCCGCUGAGCAGGGAGCCCAUCCUCAGGGGUUGUUGUCUGGGCUCGACCCUGGGAUCAUGACCUGAGCCAAAGGCAGAUGCUUAACAGACAGAGCCACCCAGACAUCCCAAAACCAAGCAGUUUAAAAUUUAGUUGAGAUUCAGACUAGCUGGGAAGCACCAUUAAUCGUGUUCAACCUGCUUCCACCUAAUGUGUGCAUAACCUGUUCUUACUUAACAGCACCAUUCAACAUUUAUAUCUGGUUUUAUAGGUGCCAAGAGCCCUUUACCAUUAAUUAUGCCACAUAGUAAUUCUGCUGUCUAGAUAGUGAUGCCCGAUUUAUGCUCGAGGAGGGUGAGGUUCGAAGAUGCAAAGGACCUUGCCUGGGGCCAGAGUCUUUUUUUUUUUUUUUUUUUUUAAGAUUUUAUUUAUUUAUUUGACAGAGAGAGAUCAGAAGUAGGCAGAGAGGCAGAGAGAGAGAGAGAGAGAGAGAGGAGGAAGCAGGCUCCCUGCUGAGCAGAGAGCCCGAUACGGGGCUCGAUCUCAGGACCCUGAGAUCAUGACCUGAGCUGAAGGCAGCGGCUUAACCCACUGAGCCACCCAGGUGCCCCGGGGCCAGAGUCUUUUAGCAGAGCUGGGGACAUACGUUAGAAUUUUAGUUUUUAACUAUGUAUUUGAUUUUUCUGGAGAUUUUAUUUAUUUAUUUGACACAGAGAGAGAGAUCACAAGUAGGUAGAGAGGCAGGCAGAGAGAGAGAAGGGGAAGCAAUCUCCCUGCUGAGCAGAGAGCCCGACGCGGGGCUUGAUCCCAGGACCCUGGGAUCAUGACCUGAGCUAAAGGCAGAGGCUUUAACCCACUGAGCCACCCAGGUGCCCCUGUAUUUGAUUUUCUGUAAGCCAUGCAGACUUCUAGGUCCAUUCUAAGGUUCAUGAACAUAUUGGUGGAUACCAACUCAUACAUAAGAGAGACCGUAGGGGUUCUGCCCCGAAAGAAACCUAUUCCUUGCUAGGUCCACAGGUCUGUGCAGGGAUGCACCUGUUGAUGUCUUCUGCACCUUUUUUUUUUUUUUUUUAAGUAAGCUCUAUGCCCAGUGUGGAGCCCAAUGCAGCGCUUGAACUCACGACCCCGAGAUCAAGACCAGGGCUGAGAUCAAGAGUCAGACACAACCAACUGAGCCACCCAGGUGCCCCGAUGUCCUCUGCUCUCUUACCCAUUUUAGUUGUCUUGGGGUUUCUCUGUCACUGGCGAACAGAUCUUCCUUAUCAUAGCUUUUGCUAGGUCAGUACUUAUCGCUCCAAAGUUUCCAGGGUAAGUGAUGUGAAGAAGGGAAUUUGGAUAUGUAAAUUGGGGGCCAGUGAAUUUGAUCAUUUCAGAAAACAAUUUGGUAGGUCCUCGAAAAGCUGGAGGUAUACUGCCAUCUACUAUCUCUUGCAUGGGUGUGACAGGUGACAUGCCCUUGGCAGCAUUUUUGUUAGAGCUGGGAAAAAAAAAAAAAAAAUAAGGAAUCACUCUAAAUGUUCACUAACCAGAGAAUGGAUAGAAAAGUAUGGAAAGUGGUCAGGGAAUAUGGCGCUAAAGAUCCGUGAAAAUGAAUGAACUAGAGCCAAGGCCUCACCAUGAGUGAAUCUCUGGAACAUAAAGUCGAAUAAGAAACGUUAGACGCAGAAAAAGCAGCACAGUCUGAUUGCAUCUAGAUAAUGUUCAGAAAGCAGCAGACCACCUGGCGUAUGUAGAGGAACACACAAAUGUGAGCCCACUAGGAAGUAAAUCCUAGAAACACAAGUGCCCGAAUCAGCCUGGUGCUUCCCUCUGGGGAGAUGGGAAGGAGACCGGUGGGGGAGGGGACUACGAGGGUUUGUAGUGCAUUGGUGAUGGUCAGUUCCUUUAGCUGGGUCAUUGGUCCUUAAGGGGCAUCGACUACAUACAUACACAUGCCUACAUAUAUCCUUUGUUUUGAAUGAAAUAUUUUGUCAUAGAAAAAUAUAGAAUCUACCUCUUUUUUUUUUUUUUAAGAUUUUAUUUAUUUAUUUGACAGAGAGAAAUCCCAAGUAGAUGGAGAGACAGGCAGAGAGAGAGAGAGGGAAGCAGGCUCCCUGCUGAGCAGAGAGCCCGAUGCAGGACUUGAUCCCAAGACCCUGAGAUCACGACCCGAGCCAAAGGCAGCGUCUUAACCCACUGAGCCACCCAGGGGCCCCUAGAAUCUACCUCUUUAAAAAAAGAUUUAUUUAUUUAAUUGAGAGAGAGAAAGAGAGUGAGCAUGAGCAGGAGGGACAGAAGGUGAUGGAGAGAAGUAGAUUCUGCUAAGUGCAGGAGCCUGAUGUGGGGGCUCGAUCCCAUGACUCUGAGAUCAGGGCCUGAGCUGAAAUCAAGAGUCAGAUGCUUAACCAACUGAGCCACCCAGGCACCCCUAUGACCAAUGCAGGGUUAGGGGUACCGGUCCCCUGCACAGUUGAAAAUCCAGUAUAAGGUUUUUUUUGGGGGGAGGGGUAAACAUUUAUGUGAGAGAAAUUUCAUGAGUGUGGAGGGGGGCAGGCAGAGGGAGAGACUCUCGGGCAGACUUCUUGUAUAGUGUGGAGCCCAGAGUGGGGUUUGGCUCUCGGUUGGAUCUUACAACCCUGAGAUCAUGCAUGACCUGAGCAGAAACUAAGAGUCAGACGUCCAACUAUGAGGCCACCCAGGUACUCCCAUCCAGUAUAACUUUUGACUCCCCUAAGGUGUAACAACUAAUAGCCUAAUGUUGACCAAAAGAUCCAUGGAUAGCAAAAACAGUUGACUAACACAUAUUUUGUGCAGUCUCUGGUUAUAUACUGUUUUCCUCCAAUAAAGUAAGCCAGAGGGAAGAGAUGGUCAUUCAGAAAAUCCUAAGGAAGAGAACACUUUCAUAGUACUAUUUUGUUAUUUAUCGAAAAAAAAUCUGUGUAUAAGUGGACCUGUGCAGUUCAUACCUGUGUUGUUCGAAGGUCAGCUGUACAAAAAAAUAAACUUUUAUGGGACUUCA
Long non-coding RNA from Mustela lutreola (European mink), 4088 nucleotides. RefSeq lists it as uncharacterized. Lineage: Eukaryota; Metazoa; Chordata; Mammalia; Carnivora; Mustelidae. The transcript has 3 exons. The record is from RefSeq and is a predicted model, not a curated record.